CUCGGUCGGCGGAGAAGGCCGCUCGCCGCCUCCAGGAGGGCUAAGGCGCCGGGCAGGGAGGCGGAGGAGGAGGCGGCCGGGCUGGGAUCUAGAGGGAGAGCCAGGCGCUGCGGGGAGAAGUUAUUUUUAUCCUUUUUAUUUUUAUUCUGACAUUAUUAUUAUUUAUUAGGUUUUUUUCCCCCAUCCCGAAAACGAAACUCAGAGCGGCUUACAAAAACCGGGCGUUAAAGAGGAUAGAACAGCCUAAAACACAUAGGUGCUAUUUUUAUUUUUAUCUUUUAUUAUUAUUAUUAUUAAUUAGGUUUUUCACCAUCCCAAAAAUGAAACUCAGAGCAGCUUACAAAAACCAGGCAUUAAGAAGGAGGAUAGAACAGCCUAAAACACAUAAGUGCUAUUUUUAUUUUUAUCUAUUAUUAUUACAGUAUUAUUAUUAUUAUUAUUUAUUAGAUUUCCCCACCACCACCCCGAAAAGGAAACUCAGAGCGGCUUACAAAAACCGGGCAUUAAAGAGGAGGAUAGAGCAGCCUAAAACACAUAGGUGCUAUUUUUAUUUUUAUCUAUUAUUAUUAUUAUUAUUAAUUAAUUAUUAGGUUUUUCCCCAUCCCAAAAAUGAAACUCAGAGCAACUUACAAAAACCGGGCAUUAAGGAGAAGAAUAGAACAGCCAAAAACACAUGUGCUAUUAUUAUUAUUUACAGUGGUACGUCUGGUUGCAAACGGGAUCCAUUCCGGAGCCCCAUUUGCAACCUGAAAGGGACACAACCCGCAUCUGCGCACACGCAGGUUGCGAUUCACCGGUUUUGCGCAUGCGCGAGCGGCAAAACCCAGAAGUAACCCUUUCCGGUACUUCCAGGUUGCCGCGGGACGCAACCUGAAAAGACGUAACCCGAACCGAACAUAACAAGAGGUAUGACUGUAUUAGGGGUUUUUUCCCCCAUCCCAGAAACAGCACCCAGAGCAGUUUACAAAAACCAGGCAUUGAGGAGGAGGAUAGAACUGCCAAAAACACAUAUUCUAUUAUUAUUGUUGUUGUUGUUGUUGUUGUUAUUUAUUAAAGAUUUUCUUGUUUUACAGAAGUAUGUGUAAUGUCUCUCGUAUUUUUCCAUGUAACAUUUUUACAAAUCUCAACAAAUGAAAAUGUUGUUAUUAUUUAUUAGGUUUUUUCCCCAUCCCAGAAACGAAACUCAGAACAGCUUACAAAAACUGUGCAUUAAAGAGAAGAAAGAAGAGCCUAAAAUAC
This is a non-coding RNA of Podarcis lilfordi (Lilford's wall lizard), 1239 nucleotides long. NCBI's taxonomy places the organism in Eukaryota, Metazoa, Chordata, Lepidosauria, Squamata, Lacertidae. The record is from the annotation of a GenBank genome assembly.